This 253-nucleotide ribosomal RNA is filed under the name uncultured bacterium. RNAcentral describes it as "partial 16S ribosomal RNA". It matches the Rfam family "Bacterial small subunit ribosomal RNA", at positions 524 to 776 of the family's 1533-position model. The record is from RNAcentral.
UACGUAGGGUGCGAGCGUUGUCCGGAAUUAUUGGGCGUAAAGGGCUCGUAGGCGGUUUGUCGCGUCGGGAGUGAAAACCAUGGGCUUAACUCAUGGCUUGCUUCCGAUACGGGCAGACUGGAGGUAUGCAGGGGAGAACGGAAUUCCUGGUGUAGCGGUGAAAUGCGCAGAUAUCAGGAGGAACACCGGUGGCGAAGGCGGUUCUCUGGGCAUGUCCUGACGCUGAGGAGCGAAAGUGUGGGGAGCGAACAGG